GCUUGAGCAAGCAGUGCGCGAGUUAAAAGUGUAAUAAUAAUUAAUAAUUUCAACGUGCUUACUUAAAAGUAAUCUAUGCAGCUCUAUUGACCACCUUAAACCCACUCAAUGCUCAUCGUACCGUACGAUGUACAGUAAGCGACGCUCUCUAACCUCAUGAGAACAUGAGUUCAGCCGCAGCAGCAGCGCCGAGUGAUGCUCUCCAAGCAACGAAACGGCGACGCUUAAGCUCAGCCGCAGCAACAGCGCUAAGCGAUCGAGCGCUUACGAACGAAAGACGCGAGCAGCAAAGCAGCGACGCUCACAUGUAGGAGAGGCUGAGAGUGCAUAAGAACGCACGUAGACCACGUAGGUCAGUUCUGGUUGGACCUUUGGCGAGUAAACAAGCGGUGCGCGAUUUGUCAGUAUACAACAAAAUUAAUAAUUCCAACAUGCUUACUUACAAGCAAAAUAUGAAGCUGGCUUGACCAAUGUUUAAGUGAUUGAAAAUGCAAUAUUCGUUGUCCACACAGACGUUGCAGUUGACGCCGCGCCACGACUUCGCGCCUGCUCCAGGCUGUCCCCAAGCUCCUGCUGUUCCACAUUCGUUUGCUGCUUAAGUCAAUCAAGUGAGUUCAACGAACGCGUAGGACUUCAUACACGAUAUCUGUCUACUACAGUCGGAUCUACAUCCUGGAGAGUUACCGGAGUAAACUGGACUAAAGACUGCAACUUCAUCUGCGGAUCUACGUCUUUGAUAGUUACCGGAGUAAACUGGACUAAAGACUACAACAUCAUCAGCAUCAGCGCCAGUAGCAACAACAAUAGCAGCUAAUCCUGCUUGAAACGAUGCUGAAUCAAUUACUUUUAUUUCAAUUAAUGCAUUAAUACAUUAUUUGUAUUUUUAUUCUAAUUAAUUGUAUUCCUUUUUAAGUAGUCAUUAUUUCUCUUGGGGAUUGCCUAUGUUUGGCAGCAUAUAUAUGUGAAUCAAAGAUACAUGCAUAUAUUCAAAUAAAGUUAUACAACGACAGCAAAAUUGCGCCGCCUUUUGCCUUGAAUGUCAGACCAGGCGCCUCCUGCAUCCAUUUCCAGCAGCAAUUGGAAUUGUAUUGCUAAACUUGCAAAGGAGCAACUGCGUCACAUGAACAAGCAACACACUACAGUGGGGUCAACGUCCUGGAGACAUGCCGGAGCC
RNA transcript from Drosophila busckii, 1174 nucleotides. RefSeq lists it as uncharacterized. The record is from RefSeq and is a predicted model, not a curated record. The transcript is spliced from 4 exons. NCBI's taxonomy places the organism in Eukaryota, Metazoa, Arthropoda, Insecta, Diptera, Drosophilidae.